RNAcentral lists this ribosomal RNA (253 nucleotides) under uncultured bacterium. RNAcentral's name for it is "partial 16S ribosomal RNA". It matches the Rfam family "Bacterial small subunit ribosomal RNA", at positions 524 to 776 of the family's 1533-position model. The record is from RNAcentral.
UACAGAGGCCUCGAGCGUUGCGCGGAAUCACUGGGCUUAAAGGGUGCGUAGGCUGAUAUGCAAGUGCUUUGUGAAAUCCCAGAGCUUAACUCUGGAACUGCUUGGCAGACUGCAUGUCUUGAGGUCGGUAGGGGUUGCUGGAACGGUUGGUGGAGCGGUGAAAUGCGUAGAUAUCAACCGGAACGCCAAAGGUGAAGACAAGCAACUGGGCCGAUUCUGACGCUGAGGCACGAAAGCGUGGGGAGCAAACGGG